UCGAACUUCGAUCAUGGCAAAAGAGAGCAUUGCAACAAAAGUACAACAAACCUCCAAAAUAUACAAAUGUUAUACGAAAUAGUGUAAAAAAUGAGGACGAAUUUUGACAUCGCAGUACAUCUGAGCCCAAAAAACUUGAACAGUGGCGUUUGGUAUCGCAGGAAUUGGAAAAUAUAUAGUUGCAGACGACCAUCACACUGGAGGCCACGCGAAUCUUGCAUGGAGCCCAGAGCUUUCUUCUCUCAUCACGGCUUGGCUGUUUACCUCUUCUUCGAGGGCCAUGACUCCUGUCGCUCAAACUGUCGCGAGGAAGAUUGUUUUGCCCUCUGUCAAGGGCGUCUGCGAGAUGAAAGGGAAACACAAAACCUCGAUUUUCUCAGCAGUCUAGCUUGACAUUUUGUAUCGAGGAACAGGUUGAAUCAGAUUUCUGCAAGGUCAGAAUAUGCCAUAACAGUUUCAUGUGAAACAUUCUCUUUGUCAGCUAGAAGGUUGACUCUAAGCUUAGUUUCAGGUGUUUUGUUGCACUGCUCACUGCUAAGUAACUCUGAACUCUUCCAUAACCGAGAUUACAAUUGUUCUCUACCGGCUACUUUCAACGAAUUGCGAAAACUAAGACGAGUUAAAUCUCAGCAGUGCAAAUUGAAGCUUUUUUGUUUUUGAUGUGUAUGCAGCUCGUAUCAGCUCACAUUUUACGAGGUUAAAAGAUACAAUUACUGUUUUAUGUUGCCAGCUCGGUGGAUGGUUCUGAAUUUGGUGUCGAAAGCUUCGAAGCUGCUUUGUAACAUUUACGUCUUUGAUAUCUUCAAACGUUUUUGCGUAAUCAAUUUUCAUUGAUUGCAAAACCAAGAAGGGUUUGACUGCCGCACUCUUCACCUGUUUUGCUAUUGCUUGGACAUUAACUAAGCUGAGUUCUAUCGAACUCGUGCUUGCUAAAUUUAUUGCAAGGUAAAAGAAGCGACAACUAUCAGAGUUUAUUAAAAACAUUCUCAUUGCAAGAACGGCUGAUUUUUAUGAACUUAUCGUCGAUGACUUUUUUUGUUGUUUUGCAAUUCUUAACGAGUUGAUAUUGGAGUACAGUGGUUUUUUUUAGGCAUCUCUCUUAAAGUUGUAGCUAUUAUGCAUAAUGGUUACUGCUUCGACAAUAAACUUUGCUUGGUUUUG
This is an RNA transcript of Stylophora pistillata, 1161 nucleotides long. It is a transcript of the gene named putative G protein-coupled receptor 19, with no coding region annotated. Lineage: Eukaryota; Metazoa; Cnidaria; Anthozoa; Scleractinia; Pocilloporidae. The record is from RefSeq and is a predicted model, not a curated record.